RNAcentral lists this transfer RNA (73 nucleotides) under Canis lupus familiaris (dog). It matches the Rfam family "tRNA". Rfam says of the family: Transfer RNA (tRNA) molecules are approximately 80 nucleotides in length. Lineage: Eukaryota; Metazoa; Chordata; Mammalia; Carnivora; Canidae. RNAcentral also lists the same sequence under 2 other names. The record is from Rfam by way of RNAcentral.
GCCUGGCUGGCUCAGUAGGUGGAGCAAGUGACUCUUGAUCUUUAGGCUGUGAGUUCCAGCCCCAUGUUGGGUG